Molecule: ribosomal RNA, 498 nt
Filed under: Treponema sp. canine oral taxon 201
Lineage: Bacteria; Pseudomonadati; Spirochaetota; Spirochaetia; Treponematales; Treponemataceae
Description: bacterial SSU rRNA
Rfam family: Bacterial small subunit ribosomal RNA
Source: RNAcentral
GAGUUUGAUCCUGGCUCAGAACGAACGCUGGCGGUGCGUUUUAAGCAUGCAAGUCGAACGGUAAAAAGAGAGCUUGCUCUCUUUGAGAGUGGCGGACUGGUGAGUAACGCGUGGAUGAUCUACCUUUGAGAUGGGGAUAGCUUCUAGAAAUAGGAGAUAAUACCGAAUAACCUUGUUGUGUUUUGAUGUAACAAGAAAAGGAGCGUCAGCUCCGCUCGAAGAUGAGUCUGCGUCCCAUUAGCUAGUUGGUAGGGUAAAGGCUUACCAAGGCGACGAUGGGUAUCCGGCCUGAGAGGGUGAACGGACACAUUGGGACUGAGAUACGGCCCAAACUCCUACGGGAGGCAGCAGCUGAGAAUCUUCCGCAAUGGACGAAAGUCUGACGGAGCGACACCGCGUGAACGAUGAAGGCCGGAAGGUUGUAAAGUUCUUUUGCAGACAAAGAAUAAGGAUAGAAGGAAAUGACUAUCUGAUGACGGUAGUAUGCGAAUAAGCCCC